CCCCUAGAUGUUCUGGGCCGCACGCGCGCUACACUGAACAGUUCAACAAGUCUUAACCUUGGCCGAUAGGUCUGGGUAAUCUUUGAACGCUGUUCGUGAUUGGGAUAGACCUUUGCAAUUAUGGGUCUUCAACGAGGAAUUCCUAGUAAACGCAAGUCAUCAGCUUGCAUUGAUUACGUCCCUGCCCUUUGUACACACCGCCCGUCGCACCUACCGAUUGAGUGGUCCGGUGAAGUCUCGAGAUUGUGGCAAUCUCCUUUAUUGGAGUUUGACUGCGAGAACUUGCCUAAACCUUAUCACUUAGAGGAAGGUGAAGUCGUAACA
Molecule: ribosomal RNA, 324 nt
Filed under: uncultured eukaryote
Lineage: Eukaryota
Description: partial 18S ribosomal RNA
Rfam family: Eukaryotic small subunit ribosomal RNA
Source: RNAcentral